RNAcentral lists this transfer RNA (73 nucleotides) under Ictidomys tridecemlineatus (thirteen-lined ground squirrel). Its description in RNAcentral is "Spermophilus tridecemlineatus (thirteen-lined ground squirrel) tRNA". It matches the Rfam family "tRNA". Rfam says of the family: Transfer RNA (tRNA) molecules are approximately 80 nucleotides in length. Lineage: Eukaryota; Metazoa; Chordata; Mammalia; Rodentia; Sciuridae. The record is from Rfam by way of RNAcentral.
GGGGUUGUUGCUCAGUGGUUAGGGUGCUUGCCUAGAAUGCAUGAGGCUUUGGAUUCAAUCCCCAGCAACACAU